This is a long non-coding RNA of Pseudoliparis swirei, 1029 nucleotides long. RefSeq lists it as uncharacterized. The record is from RefSeq and is a predicted model, not a curated record. The transcript has 2 exons. NCBI's taxonomy places the organism in Eukaryota, Metazoa, Chordata, Actinopteri, Perciformes, Liparidae.
UGCAUGGUGGCAAUUUAUAGAAUUCAUCAACCUUAUUAAGACAUUCAAAACUAAUUUUUAAUUACAUUUCUGACAUGACAUGUUUUUGCAAAUGCCAAAGAUUUAGCAAAUCUUGAAGAGGGAGAGGAAGAUGAGGAAGUGGGCUCAGGAGGCCACCUGCAGGCCCUACAGGAGGUGAACGCAGGCAGGCAGCCAUGCAGUUUGGGGUCCUGAAGUCCAGCCUGAGUGACUGAGUCCCUGGUCAGAGGACACUCCUCACCCCAGAGUUGGUCUGGGCGGCACAGAGGGAGGGGGUCAUUCUCUUGUGCCUUUGGAUGUGACUCUCAAUCCUUACAUCACCCAUCCCCUGGUAACAUCAGGCCGGAUUUCAGUUGACCUGCUACACCCCCUCUGGUGCCUCCCACGGUCCCCGGCUGCCUGCUGAGGGACACCGCCACCUUCCCCCAUCUCCUGGUCAGCACACACCUAUUUUACAUUUGGAUUCACACAUAAAUCUGAAUGUAUUAACUAUUGUGACGCAUAUACAUUAUUAUGAGUAUGUAUUUUAGUGUUUUUAUAAUAAAAUAUGAUUAUUAUUUUACAGCCUUCAGCAUCGGCAGCGGGAGGUGGCCUCCUUUCCCUCCCACUUUAAAUGCUUUAUGUAACCUGAAAAAAAAAAAUUAUAACAUGAUGGUGACAUUAGUCAUGAUGAAGACUAAACAAAACAUGGUUAUGCUUUUUCUGUUAUUCAUAAAGCCUCCAAACCUGCAGAGAUGAGGCCGUCAUCAUCCAGCUCCCCGUCUGCUGGACUAAUCCACCGUAGUGUACUUAAUGGUCACACUCCUGAAGACAUGGAGACAGUUUGGGUGUGUUGCCGGUGCAGAACCCGACCCGCCCGAGAGCUGGGAGCGGUGUGGUGGGUCCAGUGUGGCCUGGGACGAGCAGCUGGAUGAGGAGGACGACUUUUUUAAAUGUUAUUUGUGUCCAGAUUAAUGUUUUAAUUAUUUUGUGUUUCUUUUGUAUUUAAAUAAAUGGUUAUCAUCUUUUCAA